Molecule: ribosomal RNA, 211 nt
Filed under: Aquitalea sp. W1_10
Lineage: Bacteria; Pseudomonadati; Pseudomonadota; Betaproteobacteria; Neisseriales; Chromobacteriaceae
Description: partial 16S ribosomal RNA
Rfam family: Bacterial small subunit ribosomal RNA
Source: RNAcentral
CAAUGGUCGGUACAGAGGGUAGCCAAGCCGCGAGGUGGAGCCAAUCUCAUAAAACCGAUCGUAGUCCGGAUCGCACUCUGCAACUCGAGUGCGUGAAGUCGGAAUCGCUAGUAAUCGCAGAUCAGCAUGCUGCGGUGAAUACGUUCCCGGGUCUUGUACACACCGCCCGUCACACCAUGGGAGUGAGUUUCACCAGAAGUGGGUAGGCUAA